This 253-nucleotide ribosomal RNA is filed under the name uncultured bacterium. Its description in RNAcentral is "partial 16S ribosomal RNA". It matches the Rfam family "Bacterial small subunit ribosomal RNA", at positions 524 to 776 of the family's 1533-position model. The record is from RNAcentral.
UACGUAGGGGGCAAGCGUUGUCCGGAUUUAUUGGGCGUAAAGAGCGUGUAGGCGGCUAGGUAGGUCCGUUGUGAAAACUCGAGGCUCAACCUCGAGACGUCGAUGGAAACCAUCUAGCUAGAGUCCGGAAGAGGAGAGUGGAAUUCCUGGUGUAGCGGUGAAAUGCGCAGAUAUCGAGAGGAACACCUGCGGCGAAGGCGGGUUGCUGGGCUGACACUGACGCUGAGGCGCGAAAGCUAGGGGAGCGAACGGG